RNAcentral lists this ribosomal RNA (396 nucleotides) under uncultured Glomeromycotina. Its description in RNAcentral is "SSU rRNA". It matches the Rfam family "Eukaryotic small subunit ribosomal RNA", at positions 569 to 970 of the family's 1831-position model. Lineage: Eukaryota; Fungi; Glomeromycota. The record is from RNAcentral.
AGCAGCCGCGGUAAUUCCAGCUCCAAUAGCGUAUAUUAAAGUUGCUGCAGUUAAAAAGCUCGUAGUUGAAUUUCGGGACCAUCAUGUCGGUCGUGCCUCGGUACGUACUGGUAUUGUUGGUUUCUCCCUUCUGACGAGCCAUGAUGUCAUUUAUUUGGUGUUGUGGGGAAUCAGGACUGUUACUUUGAAAAAAUUAGAGUGUUUAAAGCAGGCUCACGCUUGAAUACAUUAGCAUGGAAUAAUGAAAUAGGACGUUUGAUUCUAUUUUGUUGGUUUCUAGGAUCGACGUAAUGAUUAAUAGGGAUAGUUGGGGGCAUUAGUAUUCAAUUGUCAGAGGUGAAAUUCUUGGAUUUAUUGAAGACUAACUACUGCGAAAGCAUUUGCCAAGGAUGUUUU